RNAcentral lists this long non-coding RNA (636 nucleotides) under Pan troglodytes (chimpanzee). RNAcentral's name for it is "long non-coding RNA NONPTRT004584". Lineage: Eukaryota; Metazoa; Chordata; Mammalia; Primates; Hominidae. The record is from RNAcentral.
UCACUGUCUCAGUCAUAAUUUUGCAAAGGUGGUUUCAUCUGGAGGGUGGUGCAUCCAGGGAGGGCAUGGAAGCUCCAUGCCCCUUUGCCCAUACCUCAUCCUGUACAUCUCUUCAUCUGUAUCCUUUGUAACAUCCUUUAUAAUAAACUGGUAAACCUAAGUAAGUGUUUCUCAGUGUCCUGUGAGCCAUUCUUGCAAAUUCGGCAAAUCCAAAGAAGGGGUCAUGGGAACCCCAACUUGAAGCCUGUCAGUCAGAAGUUCCAGAGGCCUAGAUAGCUUGGGGCAGACUCCUCUCGUAAGUGUUAGAUUCAUUUGCUCAGCUGCUAUAACAAAGUACGACACACCGGGGGAAUUAAAACAACAGAAAUGUAUUGUCUCACCGUUCGGGAAUCAGGCGUCAGCAGGGCUACGCUCUCUCUGAUGGUGCUAGGAGGGAGCUUGCCAUACCUGCUGCAGCUUCUGCUGUUUGCCCACAAUCUCUGCCAUUCUUUGGCUUGUAGAUGCCACUCCAAGCACAUGGCCAUUGUGAAAGGAAAACCUCUUGGGCCCCCAAAAUCACUAAGGAAAACUCAAGCUUGAAACUGCUUAGGGCAAACCUGCCUCCCAUGCUAUUCAAAGUUAUUUCUCCGCUCACUG